UCCGGUUUAACACCGGCAGUCUCCGUAGAGUGCCCAACUGAAUGGUGGCAACUACGGACAAGGGUUGCGCUCGUUAAGGGACUUAACCCGACAUCUCACGAUACGAGCUGACGACAGCCAUGCAGCACCUAUACCGCCAGCCCCCGAAGGGGAAAUUCCAUCUCUGGAACUGUCUGACGUUGUCUAACCCAGGUAAGGUUCUUCGCGUUGCAUCGAAUUAAACCACAUGCUCCACCGCUUGUGCGGGCCCCCGUCAAUUCCUUUGAGUUUUAACCUUGCGGCCGUACUUCCCAGGCGGGGUACUUAAUGCGUUAGCGUCGACACUGCAGGGGUCAAUUCCCGCAACAUCUAGUACCCAUCGUUUACGGCGUAGACUAC
Molecule: unclassified non-coding RNA, 378 nt
Filed under: uncultured Oligoflexales bacterium
Lineage: Bacteria; Pseudomonadati; Bdellovibrionota; Oligoflexia; Oligoflexales
Description: contains 16S-23S intergenic spacer region
Source: RNAcentral